UACGAAGGGUGCAAACGUUGCUCGGAAUUAUUGGGCGUAAAGCGCACGUAGGCGGCUUAGCAAGUCGGAAGUGAAAUCCCACGGCUCAACCAUGGAAGUGCUUUCGAAACUGCUGAGCUUGAGUACGAAAGAGGAUCGCGGAAUUCCCGGUGUAGAGGUGAAAUUCGUAGAUAUUAGGAAGAACACCAGUGGCGAAGGCGGCUCACUGGUCCGGUACUGACGCUCAGGCACGAAAGCAUGGGGAGCAAAAGGG
RNAcentral lists this ribosomal RNA (253 nucleotides) under uncultured bacterium. Its description in RNAcentral is "partial 16S ribosomal RNA". It matches the Rfam family "Bacterial small subunit ribosomal RNA", at positions 524 to 776 of the family's 1533-position model. The record is from RNAcentral.